Molecule: ribosomal RNA, 302 nt
Filed under: uncultured bacterium
Lineage: Bacteria
Description: bacterial SSU rRNA
Rfam family: Bacterial small subunit ribosomal RNA
Source: RNAcentral
UACGUAGGGGGCGAGCGUUGUCCGAAAUUACUGGGCGUAAAGCGCACGUAGGCGGCUCGAUGCGUGGCAUCUGAAAGCCCACCGCUCAACGGUGGCGGGUGGUGCCAGACGGUCGAGCUUGAGGCAAGCAGACGAGUGUGGAACUCCGAGUGUAGCGGUGGAAUGCGUAGAGAUUCGGAAGAACACCCAUGGCGAAGGCAGCACUCGAGGCUUGACUAUCCGGAGCACAACGCUAUGCUGCAAGGUAUAGCUUAUGGCUGCGGUCCUGACGCUGAGGAGCGAAAGCCAGGGGAGCAAACGGG